RNAcentral lists this long non-coding RNA (219 nucleotides) under Elaeis guineensis (African oil palm). Its description in RNAcentral is "long non-coding RNA (EGUI_LNC059457)". Lineage: Eukaryota; Viridiplantae; Streptophyta; Magnoliopsida; Arecales; Arecaceae. The record is from RNAcentral.
CGAGAGUGCUGGUAGUUGUGAGAGAACAACUACCGCUGUGCAUGACCAACAUGAAAAGUCACAUGGAUGUCUGCUCACUCAUUAGUGACUCUCUCGAUGCUAUAGUAGUAUGACUGAUUCUUUGACCUACAGUAAUACAGUUGCUCGUAGUGAGACUGCUGGAGUUUAACUACAUAUAAACAUUGACUCAAUGAGUCCUUAUAGUGGAUGUUGGCGAUA